GUCUGGACGCGCUGGGUGGAUGCGGGGGACUCCUGGGAAAAGGGCUGGAGCCGAGCGAGCGCUAGUCGGGCGCAAGCGCGCACAGACCGCAGCCACCCGAGGGCCCCCCCGCCCCCACAGCCCACCCGGAGACCCCAGCGCAGCAUCGCGUCUGCAUCCCCGGCGGUCGGCUCGAGGUAAGGAGCGGGGCUUUG
RNAcentral lists this non-coding RNA (194 nucleotides) under Oryctolagus cuniculus (rabbit). The record is from RNAcentral. Lineage: Eukaryota; Metazoa; Chordata; Mammalia; Lagomorpha; Leporidae.